Molecule: long non-coding RNA, 1472 nt
Organism: Oncorhynchus tshawytscha (Chinook salmon)
Lineage: Eukaryota; Metazoa; Chordata; Actinopteri; Salmoniformes; Salmonidae
Source: Ensembl
UUAAUAAAACAUUGAUAAUGUGGGGAUUGAACUGAAUGAACUCUGGAGAGAGAGAGAGAUAGAGGGAAAGGGAGAGAGGGAAAGGGAGAGAGAGAGAGAGAGAGGGAAAGGGAGAGAGAGACAGAUAGAGACAGAGAGUGUGUAAGAGAGAGACAGACAGACAAAGAUAUAGACAGAGACAGACAGAGAGUAGAGAGAGAGAGAGAGAGAGUGAGAGAGAGAGGGAAAGACAAAGAGGGCAUCCCAAAAACUCCUGGACAAUUAUCACUAAUUGGAGUCAUUAUUAUUCGCCAUUCUCUACAUCAAUAUUGUGAUUCAUAUCACGGCCAUCAGCGUUCACCACCACCAUCCCAAUUACUUAGGCUACUUAAUGACUGGUAUUACUCAUCACCCUGGCAACCGGCAACUUGGCCACCAUUGUUUUAAUGGCACUAAUUGUACUAGCAGCACCAUACAUCAAGCAGAGGCCCAGCCCGGGAAGUAAUUGUGAGUUAUUCAUAUCAAAACCCAUAGAACAGCAUAUACAAAUCCAGGCAGAAAAGAGUGGUGGGAUGUUUGAGGCCGAGGCUAGAAAAUAGGACUAAUUAGAGUCCAUUACUUCCACAUCCUCUGCCAGCUGUCACCUCUUCAAUGGAGAUGAGGCCUAGCUACCCGCCGAUGCUGCUGAUGUAGAGACAGACAGACCAGGCAGGCAGGCCUGCGCUGUGCAUGACACAUCCACCACCACGCACCUGGCUGCCAAGCCAAUGGGAUCAGGCGAGGGUGGCGGGAGACAGGGACAGAACAGUCAAACCAGGAAAUGAAUGGAGGAGCAGAGAGGGGGUCCGGUAUAAUAACACCACAGCUGGGAGAGAGAUAUGAGAUGACGCAGGUCCCCUCAGCAUGGCCCCACGGGGGCCCUGCCACUUUAACUGCAGUUUUUAUAGUCCAUCCACUGUAGGCCAGGGGCUUGUGAAUACCAAUAGGCAGGGCUAGACUUCUACACAGUAGUAUGACUACAGAAGAGAAAAGACCCACCGUGGCAGAAGUAUUAAUCCUGACCCCAUUAAAAUCAGAGUCAUAAUAAAAUACUCCACAUGCAUGGAAUUAGAUUGAGAGAGAAUGUAAGGCGAUCGAUACCGAAGCGGUGUACUGACAGUAUGAAAAACAGAUAAAUAAAACAAGAUACUAUUGUCAGUUCCCCUUUUGGCCAAGUGGGGGCAGUGUUUCAUUGCAGUGAAAGGCCCUGAUCAGAGUUCCACUCCACUCUCCCCACGGCCCUGAAAACGUGCAUUUAUUUACGCCAGCUACACAGCACUCAGACAGCCAAUCAUUUCAAAAUGCAUAAACAAAUAAAUAAAUAAAUAAUACAUAUAGGUAUAAAUAAACAAGGCCGUAUCCGGGGCGUCCUAAAUGGUUCCCAAGGUGGAGAUGAGUUAUAAGGAGGGUUAGAGGAGGGGGGAGUUGGGAGCACAGCCAGAUGUAUGAAGACG